Molecule: unclassified non-coding RNA, 1562 nt
Filed under: uncultured fungus
Lineage: Eukaryota; Fungi
Description: sequence contains 18S rRNA gene, ITS1, 5.8S rRNA gene, ITS2, 28S rRNA gene
Rfam family: Eukaryotic large subunit ribosomal RNA (bases 580-1562)
Source: RNAcentral
GGAAGGAUCAUUAUCGUACAACGAGUGGCACCGGGGCUGUCGCUGACCAAAAAUGGUCGUGCACGCCUCGAGUGUUCUCUCAAACCACAUCCAUCUCACCUUUGUGCAUCACCGCGUGAGCUCCACCCAAAAAGGGGCUUGCGUCAUUUUUCUUUCACACACCCCACUAGUGUAGAAUGUCCUCAUCUUGCGAUUAGUACGCAGUCAAUACAACUUUCAACAACGGAUCUCUUGGCUCUCGCAUCGAUGAAGAACGCAGCGAAAUGCGAUACGUAAUGUGAAUUGCAGAAUUCAGUGAAUCAUCGAAUCUUUGAACGCACCUUGCGCCCCUUGGUAUUCCGAGGGGCACACCCGUUUGAGUGUCGUGAACUCCUCAACCUUCACUGUUCUUUUUGAUCAGCGAAGGCUUGGACUUUGGAGGCUCUUGCUGGUCUCUACCCUGAAGCCAGCUCCUCUGAAAUGGAUUAGCAGGGUCACCUUUGCCGAUCCUAUGGACGUGAUAAGUUGCUUCUACGUCCGUUUGGGUUUGGCUUCCCUCGCCUUGCUCCUAAAUCCUCUUCAAAAAACUUUUGAACCCUUUGACCUCAAAUCGGGUGAGACUACCCGCUGAACUUAAGCAUAUCAAUAAGCGGAGGAAAAGAAACUAACAAGGAUUCCCCUAGUAACUGCGAGUGAAGCGGGAAAAGCUCAAAUUUAAAAUCUGGCGGUCCUUGGCCGUCCGAGUUGUAAUUUAGAGAAGCGUCUUCCGCGCCGGGCCGUGCACAAGUCUCCUGGAAUGGAGCCUCAUAGAGGGUGAGAAUCCCGUCUCUGGCAUGGACCUCCGGUGCUUCUGUGAUGCGCUCUCAAAGAGUCGAGUUGUUUGGGAAUGCAGCUCAAAAUGGGUGGUGAACUCCAUCUAAAGCUAAAUAUUGGCGAGAGACCGAUAGCGAACAAGUACCGUGAGGGAAAGAUGAAAAGCACUUUGGAAAGAGAGUGAAACAGUACGUGAAAUUGUUGAAAGGGAAACGCUUCAAGUCAGUCGCGUCGACCGAGACUCAGCCUUGCCUCGGCAUCGCGUACUUCUCGGCUGACGGGCCAGCAUCAAUUUUGUCCCUCGGAUAAUGGCGGGAGAAAGGUGGCACCCUUACGGGUGUGUUAUAGUCUCUUGUCGCAUGCGAGGGGUGGGAUUGAGGACCUCAGCACGCACCUUUAGGUGUCGGGGCUUCGGCCCACGUUACGUGCUUAGGAUGUUGGCGUAAUGGCUUUAAACGACCCGUCUUGAAACACGGACCAAGGAGUCUAACAUGCCCGCGAGUGUUCGGGUGGAAAACCCGUGCGCGAAAUGAAAGUGAAAGUUGGGACCUCUGUCGUGGAGGGCACCGACGCCCGGACCAGACCUUCUGUGACGGAUCUGCGGUAGAGCGUGCAUGUUGGGACCCGAAAGAUGGUGAACUAUGCCUGAAUAGGGUGAAGCCAGAGGAAACUCUGGUGGAGGCUCGUAGCGAUUCUGACGUGCAAAUCGAUCGUCAAAUUUGGGUAUAGGGGCGAAAGACUAAUCGAACCAUCUAGUAGCUGGUUCCUGC